CCUACGGGUGGCAGCAGUGGGGAAUGUUGCGCAAUGCUCGUAAGAGUGACGCAGCGACGCCGCGUGAAUGACGAAGGCCUUCGGGUCGUAAAGUUCUUUCGACAGGGAAGAAAAGGCCGAUAAGUAACUGUGUAUGUAUGGACGGUACCGGUAGAAGCAGCCCCGGCGAACUCCGUGCCAGCAGCCGCGGUAAUACGGAGGGGGCGAGCGUUGUUCGGAGUGACGGGGCGUAACGAGCACGUAGGCGGUGUUGUAAGUCAUUAGUCAAAGACUAGAGCUCAACUUUAGUAAGGCUAGUGAUACUCUCAUCCUAGAGUAUCAGAGCGGCUUGCAGAAUUCCUGGUGUAGCGG
This 351-nucleotide ribosomal RNA is filed under the name uncultured bacterium. Its description in RNAcentral is "partial 16S ribosomal RNA". It matches the Rfam family "Bacterial small subunit ribosomal RNA", at positions 338 to 681 of the family's 1533-position model. The record is from RNAcentral.